CGAAAGCCUGACGGAGCAACGCCGCGUGUGGGAAGAAGGCUCUUGGGCUGUCAACCACUUUUCUCAGGGAAGAAGAUCUGACGGUACCUGAGGAAUCAGCCUCGGCUAACUCCGUGCCAGCAGCCGCGGUAAUACGGAGGAGGCAAGCGUUAUCCGGAAUCAUUGGGCGUAAAGCGUUCGUAGGCGGCUGUUCAAGUCUGCUGUCAAAGACCGAGGCUCAACCUCGGGUCGGCAGUGGAAACUGGAUAGCUAGAGGUCGGUAGGGGCAAAGGGAGUUCCCAGUGUAGCGGUGAAAUGCGUAGAGAUUGGGAAGAACACCGGUGGCGAAAGCGCUCUACUGGGUCGCACCUGACCCUCAGGGACGAAAGCUAAGGGAGCG
This 379-nucleotide ribosomal RNA is filed under the name uncultured cyanobacterium. Its description in RNAcentral is "bacterial SSU rRNA". It matches the Rfam family "Bacterial small subunit ribosomal RNA", at positions 376 to 770 of the family's 1533-position model. The record is from RNAcentral. Lineage: Bacteria; Bacillati; Cyanobacteriota.